ACGAGUUGUGUCUAUUUUAGUAUGAAUGGAUGAACGAAACAGCUUGGAAGGUUUUAUUUUAUUCAAAUAAUAACGAAUCUCAACAAAAUGAUCAAAUACUAAAGGCUAUAGACAUAGUCUGCAGAUCAUCAUGAUCGCGUGGAGUCAACAGAUAAUCAACCAGCUUUGGAUCGCCUUGAAAAGAGUCUAAAAACGGCUUGAGUUGGACAUACCUCUCAAUCAUGUCUAGGACACAAGAUUAGAACUUUGUAAUAAAGAUGUCAAGUUUGGCUGUUUUAGAAAAUCCAGCAAGUGCUUGGUUCAAAUCUUGCCAGAUUAAUGAAAUUCAGUCUGAAGCAUUACUUUCCAUAUUGACAAUGAUAGGAUUAAAACAAUGUCAUCUCAAUAGCAAGAAUUAAAGUUAGAAAAAAGUGCUCAGACUUAAUCCUAUAAUGCAUCCUGUCCAGCAAGUACUCUUUCUGCUAAUAACAUCAAUCUUUAGUUAAGAUCUAUUGUCAAGUAAUGAAUCCACCCAAUAAAACUGUAACAAACAUCAAA
Long non-coding RNA from Octopus bimaculoides (California two-spot octopus), 537 nucleotides. Lineage: Eukaryota; Metazoa; Mollusca; Cephalopoda; Octopoda; Octopodidae. The record is from RefSeq and is a predicted model, not a curated record.